UAGUGCAUCCUUCAUAAAAAUAGGGUUUAAAGAAAUCAGCUCCAGCAGCAUGUUUUCAACACCCUGAGUGACGCAAGCCAUGUUAGACCCUACCAAAGAUCACUCCUCACACCUGGGGCACACAAGGAAAGGAACUGACAGGACUGAGAAGAACAUCCGUCAACUUCUGCAAAGUAUCAACAAGAUCAUCACCCACAGAGGCAGAUGUCUCAAGGAAAGACUAUCCCUUGAAUCGGGUCAUGGAAGUUUGCUAGCAGGCUGUGGUCCAUGAACUCACAGAAACUAUAAACCAUCCAUGAAGAAGGAAUGGGUCCAUCUGAAGAGUGCCAAAGGGAAAAGUAAGACAAAGACAUGGAGCAGCCUCCAGGGGAUGAAAUCGAUGAAUGGGAGGAAGAAGAGAAGAAAGCCAGAUCUCAGGAGUUUCUAAGUAGAUGGCACAAAUUCAUCUAAAUGAACAGAAUACGGCUGUGCAAAUGUUUAAUGUAUUUGUGAAAAUUAUACUUUUUGAAAACUAAUUAUUCACAUUCAAAACCAGUAUUUCAAGGCUUGUGGCUAAACUAUUGUCUGUAAAAGCCAUGGCUUAUGUGUUACAUUCUGUUUGUGCUUUUCUGUUUCACUUUUAUCUGUUCUGCAGAUGAAGGCAAUGGUGCAAAAAGGAGUUUACCAGAAAUGAGUAUUGAGUAACAGUCUGAUCUUAAAAUACUUUUGCAACUUGUUAUGCAAAAUCACAGUUGCAGAAAAAUUGGUUUCCAUCAAAAGCUAUUAAACAGAUCAACUAGAUUACCUCUAGCUCAGAUUUUUUAAAAACCCAAUCUCCUUCACAGAAAACUUUUGUUCUAUUUGUAUACAUUAGAGCAACCAGUACAUAUCAAACUUCAGGCCUCUUACGAGUAAGCAAAUAUAUCAAAGAAAAGUUUUUACUUAAUUGAAAUCUGGGUUAAAGUAAAGAUGCAAUAGUGUCAAUUCAGGAACUGUAGGCAGGAGGACAAUUUAACAAAUACCAACAUAAUACAAUUUUUCGCCACAUGUUUUCUACCUCUAUGGUUGUAUUAAACUUGGAAAAAGAAAUGAUCUUAGUAAAUAACAAGAAGUUUGCUUUUCUAUAAGAGUUAUCUAUUGCAUACUUUUCUUUUUUUUAGUAUUUUUUCUAAGCUUACCUUGAGUUUCAUAUUACCCUUUUGUGCAGAUAACAGGAUGAAAAAAAUCAUUUGCUUUGGAAAGUCAUUAUUUUCAGUUUGUUGUUGUUGUUUUGAGACAGGGUCUCAUUCCAUUGCCCAGGCUGGGGUGCGUGGUGCAAUAAUGGCUCACUGCAGCCUCGACUUACUGGGCUUAGGUGAUUCUCCCAACACAGCCUCCCAGAUACACAGUAUCUGGGACUACAGACACCAACCACUACACCUGGCUAAUUUCUUUGUAUUUUUUUGUAGAGACGGGGUUUUGCCAUGUUGCCCAAGCUGAUUUUGAACUUUUGGGCUCAAGCACUCUGUCUACCUCUGCCUCCCAAAGUGCUGGGAUUACAGGCGAGAGCCACUGUGCCCGGCCUCUUCUGUGGUCUCUAACAUUGUUCUUGAAUUAUUAACGGUGAAGAACCUGGAUUUUUGUGUUGCACACCAGUAUUUGAAUCUGAAGUCUUCUGCUUGUUGUUUCCUGGACAGUGGACAGGAGCUUAUAUGGUUCAGUCUAUUCCUCUCUUAAAUAGGGUUGAGUUGUGUACAUCUCACAUAUUGGUGAUGAGAAAUUAAAUAGUAUACAACAACGUGAACAUGAUACUUGGCACAUUGUAACCAAAAUAAUAGUACUGGUUAUCUUUAAUAUUGGUAUCAGCAUUAUUAGGUUUAUAUUUUUUAAUGAUCUCAUGUUUGCUAAAAAUUGUACGUUUAAAACAAGCUUCAAGGGAUAAAAACUGUGUUCUCUGGUAUGUGAGUAAUGACGACUUGUUUGCAGUACUGAAACCUUUGCAGAUUUCAUCAUAUAUCUAGAAGUAAUUUGAAAUAUGCUUAUUACAUACUGAAAUAUUUAACUCUUUUAUUAUACACUGAAAUAUUUAAAACUUUAACAAUUAACUUGAUUUUACUUUGUAAAUUCCCAUUUAUGGGAUAAAGAAAAUGUGGUAUAUAAACACAAUGGAAUACUAUUCAGCCACAAAAGAAUGAAAUCAUGUCAUUUGCAGCAAAAUGGAUGGAACUGAAGGUUAUUAUAUUAAGUAAAAUAAACCAGACAUAGGCACAUUUCACAUGUUCUUACUCAUGGGAGCUUAAAAGUUCAUUUCAUUGAGGUAUAGAGUAGAAUGAUAGAUACCAGAUGCUGGGAAUGUUGUGUGAGUGCAAAGGGGGAUGAAGAGAGUCUGGUCAAAGGGUACAAAUUACAGUUACAUAAAAGAAGUAAGCUCUAAUGUUCCAUAACAGUUCAUAACUACAGUUAGCAACAAUGUAUUGUAUAUUUCAAAUUAGCUAAAAUAGGGAACUUGAAAUGAUUCCAACACAUGGAAAUGAUAAAUACUCAAGGUGAAGAAGGCCCCAAAUACCUGGACUUGAUCCUUAUACAGUCUAUGCAUGCAACGAAAUAUCAUAUGUACCCCAUAAUAUGUAAAAUAUUAGGUACCAAUUCAAAACACAGAAACAUUUCUCAUUUGUAUGUUUCCAUAAAUUACCUUUUAUGUAGAAAAGCUAUAUGCAAAAAGAUUUGCCUGUGAAUCUGGGAAUAUAUUUCUAGUCUGCUUGUACUGGAGAACAAUUAUAUGACAUACAGUCUGGCUUCUUCAUAAAGCUAACAAGUGGAUUGAAAUAAUAUGAUAAUAUCACUAGGGAACAUUUCUGUCAGGAUUGUACUUAUAAAAUUUUCAGAGAUGGGAUUUAGAGACUAUGCUCUAGCUACUAAUUAAGAAAACUGUAUUAGUUAAAGUCCCAAAGGGAAAUGGAUGGCAUAUUCAAAUUAGGAUAAUUCAAGCAGAGGUU
Molecule: long non-coding RNA, 2954 nt
Organism: Piliocolobus tephrosceles (Ugandan red Colobus)
Lineage: Eukaryota; Metazoa; Chordata; Mammalia; Primates; Cercopithecidae
Exons: 3
Source: RefSeq, a predicted model, not a curated record